GAUGAAGAACGCAGCAAAAUGCGAUACUUGGUGUGAAUUGCAGAAUCCCGUGAACCAUCGAGUUUUUGAACGCAAGUUGCGCCCGAAGCCUUUUGGCUGAGGGCACGUCUGCUUGGGCGUCACGCAUCGCGUCGCCCCCCACAAUUCUCCGUAAAGAGAACUCGUGUUUUUUGGGGGCGGAUAUUGGUCUCCCGUGCUCAUGGCGUGGUUGGCCGAAAUAGGAGUCCCUUCGAUGGACGCACGAACUAGUGGUGGUCGUAAAAACCCUCGUCUUUUGUUUCGUGCUGUUAGUCGCAAGGGAAACUCUAAGAAAACCCCAACGCGUCGUCAUUUGACGGCGCUUCGACCGCUACCCCAGGUCAGGCGGGACUACCCGCUGAGUUUAAGCAUAUCAAUAAGCGGAGGA
RNAcentral lists this unclassified non-coding RNA (406 nucleotides) under soil metagenome. Its description in RNAcentral is "partial contains 5.8S ribosomal RNA, internal transcribed spacer 2, and large subunit ribosomal RNA". The stretch from base 1 to 122 matches the Rfam family "5.8S ribosomal RNA", at positions 35 to 154 of the family's 154-position model. The record is from RNAcentral.